UGAAGUGUGAGGCUCCGAGAACCCCAGCCGGAGUGCAUGCCAACUCAGAGCCGCCCAAUGCCCAGGAGACCCGCCGUACCCAACCGCAUCCGAACUCCACAGAAUCGGCUUCAAUGCGAAAGGUUGAGAACAUUUUGCAUCGGAGCCCGAACAAACCGACGCGCUUGAUCUUUGUCGACAAAAGCACUUCCUGAUUUGGUCACGCGGCGUUAGUUGGCAUCAGAAAGCCAGCCAGGUCCUAGUGAAAAAAGGCAAAGGAGGGGGAAAAAAGCUCUUGAAAAGCAGCUACCAGUUGGUUUGAUGAAAGGGGAUUUCCCUUCCAAACAACGACUCUCUCUCCAUCCCUCCUCUCCACAUCCGUGUCCACAGAUCCAGAUCCUCCUCCAUCUCAAGUCCACCCAGACUAACACACCAUCUAAGUGAGGAGUCAACUAAGUCUGUGUGGAAGAAGCAACCAGAUUGUGUGAUCCAAAGAUGACAAUUAUGAACUUUGAAUAUGGUGAGGAGAAAAGUGUCAGAGCUAAAAUUAUGAGCACCCAGUGUGCGGAGGGGUAUGAAGGACAGUGAGAGCCCAACAUGCACCUGCAGAGGAGCUGGUCAGACUGAGCCCCUGGACCGUCUGCUCCAGCCACAGGAAAGAGUCCCGAACCAGCCUUCCUGGCACGCAGAGACCCUGGCGAUCUGGAUGAUCUGGAUCACGCUCUACGUGGACUAGUUGACCUCGCGAUAGAGGCAACCUCAGUUGAUUCUGGGUGCUCGUGUCUCUUAGAGGGCCCACGACAGAACUUUCUUCUCUGGCUUCUUGAAUAUUGAUGCGGGUCUUUUCCUUCUUAAGCAUUCUUUGUAUGUUUGUCUAUACUAUUAUGAUUUUAUUCUAACCACCUUUAUGCAAUUUUGGUUUUUGUUGUUUU
Long non-coding RNA from Echinops telfairi (small Madagascar hedgehog), 911 nucleotides. RefSeq lists it as uncharacterized. The record is from RefSeq and is a predicted model, not a curated record. The transcript has 3 exons. NCBI's taxonomy places the organism in Eukaryota, Metazoa, Chordata, Mammalia, Afrosoricida, Tenrecidae.